UAUGUGAUCGUCUCUCGCAUAUCAAUAAGCGGAGGAAAAGAAACUAACAAGGAUUCCCCUAGUAACGGCGAGUGAAGCGGGAAGAGCUCAAAUUUGAAAUCAUAAAGGGUUUCCCUUUACGAAUUGUAGUUUAAAGAAGUGUUUUCUGUUGAGGUUUUGGUAAAAGUUCUUUGGAAUAGGACAUCAUAGAGGGUGAGAAUCCCGUAUUUGACCUUUACUUUCAACUUUGUGAUACACUUUCAAAGAGUCGGAUUGUUUGGGAAUGCAGUCCAAAAUGGGUGGUAAAUUUCAUCUAAAGCUAAAUAUUGGCGAGAGACCGAUAGCGAACAAGUACCGUGAGGGAAAGAUGAAAAGAACUUUGAAAAGAGAGUUAAACAGUACGUGAAAUUGUCAAAAGGGAAGCGUUUGACACCAGUGUUGUUUUUCUGAAAAUCAAUUAAAGAACUGUUUAUGCUAAGCUGUUUAGACUUUAUCAGCUAUCUGUUUAGUUUUGAGCUUUUCUUUAAUGCACUUUUCAGUUAACAAGUCAACAUCAAUUUCUUUUGCUGUAAAAAAGCUUGAGGAAGGUGGCUUGAGAUUCGUCUUAAGUGUUUAUAGCCUCUUGCCUAUGCAGUCGGAGAGAUUGAGGUCUGCAGCGUAGAUCCUUCGGGGCUAAAUGCAUUUGUGCUAAGUUAUAGCAUUUUAUAGACAACUUGUUGACUAUGAUUUGUCUUGUAGCUUACUCGCUUAUGUUAUUUUACCUACGCUUAGGAUGUUGAGUAGCGACAUACGCAC
This 774-nucleotide ribosomal RNA is filed under the name uncultured Neocallimastigales. RNAcentral's name for it is "partial large subunit ribosomal RNA". It matches the Rfam family "Eukaryotic large subunit ribosomal RNA", at positions 24 to 649 of the family's 3401-position model. Lineage: Eukaryota; Fungi; Neocallimastigomycota; Neocallimastigomycetes; Neocallimastigales. The record is from RNAcentral.